This 21-nucleotide non-coding RNA is filed under the name Arabidopsis thaliana (thale cress). Lineage: Eukaryota; Viridiplantae; Streptophyta; Magnoliopsida; Brassicales; Brassicaceae. The record is from RNAcentral.
ACAUAUUUGAUUCAGAGGUAA